Molecule: long non-coding RNA, 3303 nt
Organism: Neofelis nebulosa (Clouded leopard)
Lineage: Eukaryota; Metazoa; Chordata; Mammalia; Carnivora; Felidae
Exons: 3
Source: RefSeq, a predicted model, not a curated record
AGUGCUGUCCACCAGCUGGGCCUGCAGUUAAGGGGUGACUCCGUUUUUAAGCUACUGGGUGCUACUUGCUGUGUCCAGUGGCAGCCGAGCCGUGGGCCCUGCUGACCAGGAGCCGUGCUGGGCUGGUCUCUGACUCAACCUGCUGUGACUUCGGCGGGUCCUUGCUAGCUUGCAGAGAGCUUUCACACACUUUCCACCUUAACUCCACAGACCUCCGUUUUUUCCUCUGUGAAAUGGGAACACUGAUAGAAUUAGCAGGUAUUUAUUCAGAGCCCACUGUACCAGCACAUGAGUCCCCUGGAUCACAGGCUGCCCUUUGAGCAGGAGUGUGAUUCCCAGCACUCAGGAUCCUCUGUCCCUCCUCCGGGGUGCUUGCCCUGGACCCUCUCCUGUGUCCCUCCUCCAGGGUGUUUGCUCUGGUUCCUCUCUGAGCCCUGCUGCACACCUCACCCCAGGUCCCCCGCCUCAUCUCCCGCUUCCACCCAGCACCACCGGCAGCCUAGUGGGCAAGCUGGUGGUCAACUUGUCUGUUUCCCUGUGCUUCAUCUGGGAGGCUGGCUUCACCUGGCAGAGCCUUCCUGCUGGGGUGGCUGCUGUCCCCUCCAGCCCGGCAUGCACAGGUGCUCAAGAAAACAGUGCCGGGAGGAGGGGAGGAAGGAAAACCAAGAUGGGCUGGCUUGUUGCCCUAAUUCUAAGAUGCUCCCACUGUGUGACUCCCUGUCCCGAAUCCCCAGGCCUCAGGGUCCUCCUGUUAGAUGCCGGGUGGGGUGUGCCCUUGUCCUGGGACUGGGAGGGGCACUGUUCCCCGGGGCAGGAUGCCCACCCUGGGGACGGGAGGUUGAGGGACACAGGACGCUGGAGAAAGCUGCGUGCGUGUCCAGACAGCCACACGCCUGGGUGCUGGGCCUGGGCCCCUGACUGGGCAGGUGCCCUGGGGGUGGAGGGCAGAGGUGGGCACUGCUUCCUUUUGUGGGGAGCAGCUCUCAGACAAACCCAGAGAACAGGUUUCUCCACCCCCGUGGCCGCCCCGGAGGCCUGGAGGCCCAGAAAUGCCCCCUCACUGCACCGACUGGCACUCACGUGCGGUGGCACACACACAGAGUGGGCGUGGGGUGGGGGCAGCCUGGCGAGGGGAGGGAGGCCCCGGGUGCAGAUGGGCAGCACCUCCAGGACCGAGCAGGGGACCCCCGCCAGCCCCUCGAGCAGAGACCUCGUUCGGCCAAGCAGUGGUCCCACAGCAGGAGGCUCGGUAGCUGGGGUCAGGACAAGGGGCCAGAGUGCAGAGCCCAGGUUGGGGGCUUGGGCUUGCCUGCGAGGUCGUGUCAGUGGUUCCAGGGCAUAGGCGAGUGGCUGGGGCCAGUGCGUCCCUGUGCUCGUCAGGGAUGGGACUGUCUUGGCAGAGUUGCGUGUCCGACGAAGCAGAGUCCGCCUGGGGUUCUGGGGCUCUGGCCCGUGGUCAGGGUUUCAAGGGAGCCGGGACAGGAGUCUGCACUUGGGGGGCCGAGGAAGGUAGGGGCAGAGCUAAGAAAUCAAAGCUCAGAGAGACUGUGCCUUGUUCAAAGCAGGCACCCGGUGAUCCCAGGUCUGUCUGGCCCCACAUCUGUACCCCAGUGGUUCUGCCUGUUGCUGGGUGGGGGUGGCUGUCCAUGUAUGCAUGGCCGUCAUCCUGGGCUGAGCCACUUGGGCCCAGGGAAGAGAUGAUCCAGGAGGACUUCCUGGAUGAGGAGGCUUUGCACCGGCAGAAGGAGAGGGAGGGCUCUAUCCAGAGAAGAGGCUGGGGUGAUGGGUCACCCUCCUGGCCUCCCGUGGGGGUCGGGGGAGAAAGGAAAGGAGGGAAAGAAAGGCCAGGCCCCUGCGGCGUGGGGUACCCCGAAGAGUGGGGACUCAUGGGCACCAGGAGGGCCAGACAGGGAGGCCUCCGCAGGGCCACGGGCCGGGCGGGGUGUUGAGAGCAGCACAGAAAACCCGUACGUGCACUCCACUCACUCCAGCCAGGGGAGUGGCCUCCAUCCCGGGAGCAGGGAGGUCAGGCUGUGUCCUGGGGCCAUUUCCUGGGUGGCGCUGGGGGCCGGGCGGCCACUUUCGAGAGACCGUGUGCUGGAGCCUCCUCGGAGACACCCUCCUGUGGCGCCACUGCCUUCGUCCUAGCGGGGACACGGUUGCCGCGUCUGCGCAGCGGUACGAUCCUGGGGGACCCUGGGUAGGUCCGUACCUUUCCUGGGCUUCGGUUUCCGCGUCUGCCGGGUGGGCCCUGGGGGGCUUCAGUGCCGCAUCCAGUUGGUUCUGAAUGCGGGGUUGGCAGAUUUGUCCCAAUUCACAGAGAUCGGUGGCUGCCAAGGGCACCAGCACCCCUCCGCCCCCGCUCCUCUGGCCACCUCACGUCAGUGAACCAGAAAGAGGCGUGUGGGAUAUUUUAGUUAGCGGGGCCGGUGCUCCUGCGGGCAGAGGGGCCCCAGCGCAGCCCACUGUGGCCCAAGUGUGCCAGGGUCCUCCCGCAGGCAGAGGGCAGUGGGAGCCCCGGGCCCGCUGGAGGCCAGUGGGCAGGAGCUGAGGCCUCCAGCGACAGGCUCUGGGUAUUUCUGCCCCUGCGCACACCGUUGUGGCUCAUUUAUCAGACAGGUGUGACCUACCAAAACGUGUCACCAAAGGCCAGGGCCGAGUGGGGACCUGAUGGGGUGCAAGUUGACCGUUGCAUUUGGUAGCUCUGGGCAUGUGGUGGGGGUGCCCACCCUUACAGGUCAGCGCCGCGUCCCUGCCCCACCGUCCCCUGCAACACCGGACUCUUCUCUCCCUGUUCCACAGCCUUCAGAGGCUCCCCAGCACCUGGAGGAGAGAAUUCUAGGUCUGACCUUGGCACUGGAGGCCCCUGCGGAUAUUGUGAGCACCUCGAAGAGUGGGGAUGCGGGAACACAGGUGCCCUGUUUGGUGACCGCUGGCCCCACCCGGGAGGCCGUCUGCAGGCCUCGGGCGCAGAGAGCAGCGGGGACCCCUCCUCACCACGUCUCGACCCCACUCUUGACUGAUAAUGGAUUGCCAUUUGCCCGUCCGGUCCCCCCUUAGCUCACGCCUGUGCCCUCCGCCCAGCGGAAGUGCGGGAGGACCGGACGUGACCCCGUUUCCUCCCAGCUGGAAACUGGCUGCCGCGGGCGUAUUCACGUGGAAAUUGGCAAACACCGCCCAUCAGGGCUUUCACCCCCACCGGGCUGGUUGGUAAAUCUGGACCAGCACAUCCCUGGUUAUUAGCACUUGACAUUUACUACGUUAGAUAUUGAGACUAAUCAUUAAAGACAUUUUGUUGAUGCA